Molecule: ribosomal RNA, 301 nt
Filed under: uncultured bacterium
Lineage: Bacteria
Description: partial 16S ribosomal RNA
Rfam family: Bacterial small subunit ribosomal RNA
Source: RNAcentral
CAGCGCCGCGGUAAUACGUAGGUGGCAAGCGUUGUCCGGAAUUAUUGGGCGUAAAGGGCUCGCAGGCGGUUUCUUAAGUCUGAUGUGAAAGCCCCCGGCUCAACCGGGGAGGGUCAUUGGAAACUGGGAAACUUGAGUGCAGAAGAGGAGAGUGGAAUUCCACGUGUAGCGGUGAAAUGCGUAGAGAUGUGGAGGAACUCCAGUGGCGAAGGCGACUCUCUGGUCUGUAACUGACGCUGAGGAGCGAAAGCGUGGGGAGCGAACAGGAUUAGAUACCCCCGUAGUCCCUGUCUCUUAUACA